RNAcentral lists this microRNA precursor (83 nucleotides) under Pteropus vampyrus (large flying fox). The record is from RNAcentral. Lineage: Eukaryota; Metazoa; Chordata; Mammalia; Chiroptera; Pteropodidae.
GUCUAUGUCCAUGCCACCCUGAACAUGCCUGAUCUCGUCUGAUCUCAGACGCUAAGCAGGGUCGGGCCUGGUUAGUACUUGGA